CCUUGAGCUGUUGCAGAGGCAGCCAACUGCUCCAUAUUUGGCUUCUAUUACCCAUUUACAUGCUGGAGAGCGGAGAGGGAGCGAGCGCUGUACCGCAGACAUCAUUUCUACUACAGUGGUGGAGACAUCCCGGACCUGUGUCACUGCAGGGGGAAGGAAAAAAACCAAACAAACAAAAAGCAGACCCAAGCCCCGUGAUCAGCUAGGAAGACAUUUGUGUGCGAGUCUCUCUGAACCCCCACCCCCGCCAACCCCACCUCCACUGACACUUUACAUCACAUUGCAGGCCAAGCCAGAUGGGCAAGCAAUACAAGCUGUGAAUUUAUUCUUGACCCCGUAGGACAGUGACCACCGUCAUUUUUGUCUUCACCGUACAGUUAUGCACUGCCAGUAAGUGAAAAGGUCAAGAAAAGCAGUAGCUCAGUGGCUGAAUUUUUCUGAAGUGCUUUACAGCAGGGAAACUGGGGAAACCUCUUAAAGUGGUGUCUUAUUGAGUAAGUUAAACCUUUUUUCUUCAGUUAACUAGUUU
Non-coding RNA from Sturnus vulgaris (Common starling), 529 nucleotides. The record is from RefSeq and is a predicted model, not a curated record. Lineage: Eukaryota; Metazoa; Chordata; Aves; Passeriformes; Sturnidae.